UCCCAACUCUCUCUAAUCACUCCCAAGCCAUUCUAAAUUCGAGCAAUAUCAGAUUUUCGGCCAGAUUCAGCAAGCUCCACUAAAAAGGACUUGGUGUUCCAAACUCCUAAUCAAUCAACUCACUCGCGGGAUUAUCAAGUAGAAGACUUGCAAAACCGUGAGUAUACUCGCAACCCCCUUUUUAUGUUUACCACUUUUUGGGAUGUCGUCUAGCUCCUCCAAGAGACGCAAGUCAAAGAAGGGUUCGACUUCCACCGCCAUGUCUCAAAAAGAUUGCAUGAAAUUUAUGGCCAAGCAAUUUGCUAAAGUCCUACCCGACAUCGUUAGCAAGAUUCAAACCGAUUCACCGCAUGGCUCUGUUGACUCAAAGGCAGACAAACCUAAACCGACCUUCCAGUUUAAGCAAUUCAUGGCUUGUAAACCCUUAGAAUUUACUGGCAAGAAUGGCGCUACCGCCAUGAUGAACUGGUUUGAUGCCAUCGAGCUUACCUUCUUGCAAAGUGGUUGCCCUGACGAACUAAGAACCUUGAAUGCAACUGGGGUGUUUCGUGAAAAGGCACUCGAGUGGUGGACGA
RNAcentral lists this long non-coding RNA (575 nucleotides) under Helianthus annuus (common sunflower). Lineage: Eukaryota; Viridiplantae; Streptophyta; Magnoliopsida; Asterales; Asteraceae. The record is from RNAcentral.